RNAcentral lists this long non-coding RNA (2291 nucleotides) under Amborella trichopoda. RNAcentral describes it as "long non-coding RNA (ATRI_LNC005168)". Lineage: Eukaryota; Viridiplantae; Streptophyta; Magnoliopsida; Amborellales; Amborellaceae. The record is from RNAcentral.
UUGGUCAUUGGAAUAAAUGUAGCUACCCAAUUUCAUAUCCAAUGGUCAAGAUAAAAUUGUGACCACGUUGUACCAAAAAUAAAUGGACCCGGUUGCUAUGCAGCCAAACCCGCAUAUGUAGAACUGCGGGCCUAUUAAUAAAUAUAUUUUUGAGAUGUAAUUUUGGACUUAAUUUUUAAGGACAUGUAAUAUUUAACAUGGAGAUCAUGAAUAUGAAAUAAUAAGCAAAUUUUAAAAACUAUAAAUAAUAAUUCUAAUAAGACAGUUAUGGGCCGUCUGCGUACCUGAAAUCAAUUACAUGACAAUAGAUUACAAGAAAAUAUGACACACUGUUUGGGUAGACUUUAAUAGUAAGGAAAUGGAAAGAGAUUACCCGAGAUUUCUCCAAAAAUCACAAAACCCAUUAAUCGGGGUGAAAAAUCUAUCACGCAUCUUGACGAGUAAUCUUUGAGAAAUAUUUCGCUCGCAUCGAAACCCAUUAAGCGGGGGUGAAAAAUCUAUUAAGCGCCUUCACGGGUAAUCUGAAACCCAUUACGCGGGGUGAAAAAUCAAUUACGCGGGUCAACGGGUAAGGAAAUAUUUCGCUCGCGUCUCUCUGCCCUAUUCCUGCUUUAAAACAUAUCUUUGGGAAACCUUUGGUUUGCAUAAGUGCGCCCUUCCUCUCUCAGUGCACCUCUAUCUCUUGAGCCCUAAUAACUAGUUUGCAUAACCUCUUUCUCUAUUUGAGCUUUUUCUGCUAACCUGAAGAGAGAGAAGUAGCUAACCUGAAGAGAGACAUCUCUCAAGCCCUAAUAACUAGUUUUCAUAACUUCUUUCUCUAUCUGGACUUUUGCUGCUAACCUGAAGAGAGAGAAGUAGCUAACCUGAAGAGAGAAGCAAGAGAGUCUUGGUAAGCCCUACAUAAUCAUAAUAAAAUUUAAAAAUUUCACGUAACAUAAUCAUUAUAAGAGAUUAGUAAAAGCUCAAAUGAAACAAGAUACAUAUUUAAUCGCCUCCAACGCCUCCAAAUUUUCCACUGCAAUUACCUAAUCUAGUUUACUAAUCAAACUUCUUCCCAUUUUUUAACUUGUACUAUAAAAUGUUUGAAUUUGGUAUCAUAAAUUUAUUGUUAAUUUGAAAUUAUAUAAAUAGACAUUUGAAAGACUUUUAUAAAUAAAUAAAUAAAAAUAAGGCAUAUCACAAUAAAAUCAUGUUAUUCCAAUUAUUUAUCAUGUUGAAACCAAAGUCUAAUCAUGUUAGAAGACAUGUGAUUCCAUGUAAGCGCCAAAGUCAUGCAAAAUAAAUAUAAAAUGGUGUCAUCAUGACUUUAGAAUAGUACAAGUUAUUAUUAAAAAAUCUUUUUGAGAUAGUGAUGAUGUUAUUAUUAGAAAAUCUUUUUGGAAUGGUGUAAUGAUGAUUUUAAUUCCGCAUUUCAAUGAAAUUUUGUGACAAAGAAAGAAAGAAAUGAUAGUUUAUAAGCAAGUGUUGAUAAAAUGUUGGUAAUGCAUUCCCAUAUUUCUUCCCGACAUAGCCAAACAAUAGUAAUGUAUUUCUCAAGUUGCAUCCAAAUACUACUCAAACAGUAACAAUUUAUUUGCACGUAAUGUAUUAUGCAGUAAUAUAUUACACCAGUAAUAUAUUUCACAGACAAUAUAUUUCCAUGUUUCCAAACGGCCCUUUAGUUUCUUUUGUUUUUAGAUGGAAGACCUACUUGCAUCCAUCUUUUAAGAUGGAUGUUUUUAGUUUCUAUUGUUUUUAAGAUGGGACGCUUUACACUUUUUGAACCGCAUAUGUAGUCAUGCACUCCAGCCCGCAUAAAAUAAUUUUCCAAAAUAAAUAGUCUCAUUGUGCACUUUUUCUUAAAUAAUAUCAUUAUUGCGAGGAAUGAGAAAGAAAAAGAGGAGAUGGCAUGCACCCCAAAGCAAAAGAUAACUUUUUCAAACCUUGCAUUUGCUCAUUCCAAACUUUUUUUAGAAUGAGCAAAUGCUGGAUACGAGAGGUUUUGAGAAUGUAAAUUUCCAAUCUCCAAAAAUAUACCUUAGGGUGUCAAAACCUGCAUUUGCAAAAUAAGGAUCUGCAUCUCCUAGGUACAAAACGACCCAUUAGUUUCAUUUAUACUUGUUUAUGUCAUAUUGUUGCCUUUCGAGAAGUGAGUUCAUCAAUUUAUAGACAAGGAAAAGCUAGACACAUUGGACACCAUUGAAAGUUGGUAAAAAGAGAACCACUUAUUAGAAUCUUAGAUAACUUUGCCUAACUAGUGUUCAUGUAUAGGUUAAAAAACAUAGAGAAUCAACUUCUCGACACUUUUGGUU